UGGUUGACGAAAACGUCGUAUUCCACGAUGGCAUCGCCUUUGGAGAAAUCGACGGAGUGAAACUUGGCCUGAGCAUAGCCACGAGCGAAGCGAAAAGCCCCAGUGCCGCCAACAAUGGCCAUUUCCCUCACAGGUUCGGUCAUGAUCAUGUUUCUGGCCAAGACGCUGAUGGUGCUGCCGUUGAAUUCUCCGUCGGUGAAGGCCAUGGUCAUGACCAUCAUGAGCCCCAUUUCCGCCUGCGAUAUGGAAGUGUAAAUCCCCUGCGCCUUCCCCACCAGUUUGGAGUCGGGUUCGGGUCCCGCCGUCAAGGG
Molecule: long non-coding RNA, 311 nt
Filed under: Phaseolus vulgaris (common bean)
Lineage: Eukaryota; Viridiplantae; Streptophyta; Magnoliopsida; Fabales; Fabaceae
Description: long non-coding RNA (PVUL_LNC005164)
Source: RNAcentral